UUGAAUUUUCGAAAAGAAAAAGAAAAACUUGAUGGGGCCUUCGGGGAGUGGAAAGACUACACUUCUAAGUCUGCUCGUUGGCAGGGUGAGAGGGUCGACACCAGGAGGUUCAAUUACUUAUAAUGACCAGCCAUAUUCGAAGUUCCUAAAGAGCAGGAUAGGAUUCGUGACUCAAGACGACGUGCUCUUUCCUCACCUUACAGUGAGGGAAACAUUAACAUAUGCAGCACUCCUACGACUUCCAAAGACAUUGACAAAACAGGAAAAGGAAAAAUGAGCCAUAGACGUAAUCGACGAGUUGGGCUUGGAGAGGUGCCAAGACACUAUGAUCGGUAGCUCUUUUGUUCGGGGAGUUUCAGGAGGAGAGAGGAAGCGUGUCUGUAUUGGCAAUGAGAUUAUAAUCAACCCUUCUCUUUUGUUUCUUGAUGAACCAACCUUUGGCCUGGAUUCUACAACUGCUUUGAGGAUCAUUCAAAUCUUACAAGACAUAGCUGAGGUAUAUUGCAUUUCAAGUCCAAAGCUUCAAUUUCACAUUAUUAUUAGCAAAUUCAUGAUUAUAUAUGACAACAAAAAUAAAAAUUAUAACAAUAAAUCAAACCUAUCUUCAUCCCAACUUCUCAAGAGUUUUCUUUACCCACUAUGCCAUAUCUAGGGCCACAGGUUGUACAAAUCAUCAGCAAAUCACCUAGACAAUGAGAGAACACAUGAAGUAAAUUAUAUGCUUAUUUUAAACAUCUAAGCGUAAACAACACAUGGAGUAAACCAUAUGGGGCAAAGU
Camellia sinensis is the source of this 778-nucleotide non-coding RNA. Lineage: Eukaryota; Viridiplantae; Streptophyta; Magnoliopsida; Ericales; Theaceae. The record is from RefSeq and is a predicted model, not a curated record.